AGUUCCUGCGAGAGGGAGCUAAUCCGAUAAAGUCGUUCUCAGUUCGGAUUGUAGGCUGCAACUCGCCUACAUGAAGCCGGAAUCGCUAGUAAUCGCGGAUCAGCAUGCCGCGGUGAAUACGUUCCCGGGCCUUGUACACACCGCCCGUCACACCACGAGAGUUUGUAACACCCGAAGUCGGUGAGGUAACCUUUUGGAGCCAGCCGCCGAAGGUGGGAUAGAUGAUUGGGGUGAAGUCGUAACAAGUAUAGCCGUAUA
This 258-nucleotide ribosomal RNA is filed under the name Lysinibacillus sphaericus. RNAcentral's name for it is "partial 16S ribosomal RNA". It matches the Rfam family "Bacterial small subunit ribosomal RNA", at positions 1252 to 1506 of the family's 1533-position model. The record is from RNAcentral. Lineage: Bacteria; Bacillati; Bacillota; Bacilli; Caryophanales; Bacillaceae.